CUCUGAUAUCCUGAAAUCUCUGCAGCCCUACCUCUGCCAGGAGCAGCACAGGAAUCCACACCCAACUGAUGAGGAAACUAAGGCUCGGAAAGUUCAGGAAACUUGCCAAGAUUACCCACGUGGUUACGAAGAUCUCUGCAUCAAAAGAGAAGCUCAGAGCAGCACAGCAUCCUCAGCCCUCCUUCUCUCUUGAAGCAGACACUGAAAGACAGGAGCCGUCUCCAGGCUGGGAGAAAUUUUACCUCAAGAAGCUCAUCCUCUGGCUGCAGAAGUUUCAGUGUAUCAACAGGACCACCUGGAACAAUUGAAGAUAUAUAAU
Panthera uncia (snow leopard) is the source of this 319-nucleotide long non-coding RNA. RefSeq lists it as uncharacterized. The record is from RefSeq and is a predicted model, not a curated record. The transcript has 4 exons. Lineage: Eukaryota; Metazoa; Chordata; Mammalia; Carnivora; Felidae.